Molecule: small nucleolar RNA, 103 nt
Organism: Suricata suricatta (meerkat)
Lineage: Eukaryota; Metazoa; Chordata; Mammalia; Carnivora; Herpestidae
Source: Ensembl
AUGAUUCUUUAGUUCAUUAAGUGUGAUGACUGAAUGUUCAUACUAUUGUGAUAUGUGCCUUCCUCAAACCCUGUUACAACCAUGGCACACCACUCAUCUGACA